GUUAGAGGUUCGAAGGCGAUCAGAUACCGCCCUAGUUCUAACCAUAAACGAUGCCAGCCAGCGAUCCGGCUGUGUUCCUCAAAUGACACGCCGGGCAGCUUCCGGGAAACCAAAGCUUUUGGGUUCCGGGGGAAGUAUGGUUGCAAAGCUGAAACUUAAAGGAAUUGACGGAAGGGCACCACCAGGAAUGGAGCCUGCGGCUUAAUUUGACUCAACACGGGAAAACUUACCCGGCCCGGACACAGGAAGGAUUGACAGAUUAAGAGCUCUUUCUUGAUUCUGUGGGUGGUGGUGCAUGGCCGUUCUUAGUUGGUGGAGCGAUUUGUCUGGUUAAUUCCGAUAACGAACGAGACUCUAGCCUACUAAAUAGACGUCCCGAUCACUCUCGUCGGGCGUUCUUCUUAGAGGGACAAGCGGCGUUUAGCCGCACGAGACAGAGCAAUAACAGGUCUGUGAUGCCCUUAGAUGUCCGGGGCCGCACGCGCGCUACAUUGAAGGAAUCAGCGUGUGCUUUCCCGUUCCGACAGGAUUGGGUAACCCGUUGAACCUCCUUCGUGCUGGGGAUAGGAGCAUGUAAUUUACUCCUUGAACGAGGAAUUCCCAGUAAGCGCGAGUCAUAAGCUCGUGUUGAUUACGUCCCUGCCCUUUGUACACACCGCCCGUCGCUACUACCGAUUGAAUGAUUUAGUGAGGUCUUCGGACUGGCGCUCGGAGCGGCCUUCGGGUCGCGCCGGCGUGCCGGAAAGAUGACCAAACUGAUCA
This 762-nucleotide ribosomal RNA is filed under the name Trechaleoides keyserlingi. RNAcentral's name for it is "SSU rRNA". It matches the Rfam family "Eukaryotic small subunit ribosomal RNA", at positions 989 to 1771 of the family's 1831-position model. Lineage: Eukaryota; Metazoa; Arthropoda; Arachnida; Araneae; Trechaleidae. The record is from RNAcentral.